Molecule: ribosomal RNA, 444 nt
Filed under: uncultured bacterium
Lineage: Bacteria
Description: bacterial SSU rRNA
Rfam family: Bacterial small subunit ribosomal RNA
Source: RNAcentral
AACGCGAAGAACCUUACCAGCCCUUGACAUCCCGGUCGCGGACUCCAGAGACGGAGUUCUUCAGUUCGGCUGGACCGGAGACAGGUGCUGCAUGGCUGUCGUCAGCUCGUGUCGUGAGAUGUUGGGUUAAGUCCCGCAACGAGCGCAACCCCCGUCCUUAGUUGCUACCAUUUAGUUGAGCACUCUAAGGAGACUGCCGGUGAUAAGCCGCGAGGAAGGUGGGGAUGACGUCAAGUCCUCAUGGCCCUUACGGGCUGGGCUACACACGUGCUACAAUGGCGGUGACAAUGGGACGCGAAGGCGCAAGCCCUAGCAAAUCUCAAAAAGCCGGCCUCAGUUCGGAUUGGAGUCUGCAACCCGACUCCAUGAAGCUGGAAUCGCUAGUAAUCGCGGAUCAGAACGCCGCGGUGAAUACGUUCCCGGGCCUUGUACACACCGGUACUA